Molecule: ribosomal RNA, 253 nt
Filed under: uncultured bacterium
Lineage: Bacteria
Description: partial 16S ribosomal RNA
Rfam family: Bacterial small subunit ribosomal RNA
Source: RNAcentral
UACAGAGGGUGCAAGCGUUAAUCGGAAUUACUGGGCGUAAAGCGUGCGUAGACGGUUACAUAAGUCGGGUGUGAAAGCCCCGGGCUCAACCUGGGUAUUGCAUUCGAGACUGCGUAGCUAGGGUGCGGAAGAGGGAAGCGGAAUUUCCGGUGUAGCGGUGAAAUGCGUAGAUAUCGGAAGGAACACCAGUGGCGAAAGCGGCUUCCUGGUCCAGCACCGACGUUCAGGCACGAAAGCGUGGGGAGCAAACAGG